This 252-nucleotide ribosomal RNA is filed under the name uncultured Allobaculum sp. Its description in RNAcentral is "partial 16S ribosomal RNA". It matches the Rfam family "Bacterial small subunit ribosomal RNA", at positions 524 to 776 of the family's 1533-position model. Lineage: Bacteria; Bacillati; Bacillota; Erysipelotrichia; Erysipelotrichales; Erysipelotrichaceae. The record is from RNAcentral.
UACGUAGGUGGCGAGCGUUAUCCGGAAUGAUUGGGCGUAAAGGGAGCGUAGGCGGCCUGCUAAGUCUGGAGUGAAAGGUACCGGCUCAACCGGUACAGGCUCUGGAAACUGGCGGGCUAGAGAGCAGGAGGGGCAACUGGAAUUCCUAGUGUAGCGGUGGAAUGCGUAGAUAUUAGGAGGAACACCAGUGGCGAAGGCGAGUUGCUGGACUGUAACUGACACUGAGGCACGAAAGCGUGGGGAGCAAACAGG